This 1372-nucleotide ribosomal RNA is filed under the name uncultured bacterium. Its description in RNAcentral is "bacterial SSU rRNA". It matches the Rfam family "Bacterial small subunit ribosomal RNA", at positions 28 to 1381 of the family's 1533-position model. The record is from RNAcentral.
GAUGAACGCUGGCGGCGUGCCUAAUACAUGCAAGUCGAGCGAACGGACGAGAAGCUUGCUUCUCUGAUGUUAGCGGCGGACGGGUGAGUAACACGUGGAUAACCUACCUAUAAGACUGGGAUAACUUCGGGAAACCGGAGCUAAUACCGGAUAAUAUUUUGAACCGCAUGGUUCAAAAGUGAAAGACGGUCUUGCUGUCACUUAUAGAUGGAUCCGCGCUGCAUUAGCUAGUUGGUAAGGUAACGGCUUACCAAGGCAACGAUGCAUAGCCGACCUGAGAGGGUGAUCGGCCACACUGGAACUGAGACACGGUCCAGACUCCUACGGGAGGCAGCAGUAGGGAAUCUUCCGCAAUGGGCGAGAGCCUGACGGAGCAACGCCGCGUGAGUGAUGAAGGUCUUCGGAUCGUAAAACUCUGUUAUUAGGGAAGAACAUAUGUGUAAGUAACUGUGCACAUCUUGACGGUACCUAAUCAGAAAGCCACGGCUAACUACGUGCCAGCAGCCGCGGUAAUACGUAGGUGGCAAGCGUUAUCCGGAAUUAUUGGGCGUAAAGCGCGCGUAGGCGGUUUUUUAAGUCUGAUGUGAAAGCCCACGGCUCAACCGUGGAGGGUCAUUGGAAACUGGAAAACUUGAGUGCAGAAGAGGAAAGUGGAAUUCCAUGUGUAGCGGUGAAAUGCGCAGAGAUAUGGAGGAACACCAGUGGCGAAGGCGACUUUCUGGUCUGUAACUGACGCUGAUGUGCGAAAGCGUGGGGAUCAAACAGGAUUAGAUACCCUGGUAGUCCACGCCGUAAACGAUGAGUGCUAAGUGUUAGGGGGUUUCCGCCCCUUAGUGCUGCAGCUAACGCAUUAAGCACUCCGCCUGGGGAGUACGACCGCAAGGUUGAAACUCAAAGGAAUUGACGGGGACCCGCACAAGCGGUGGAGCAUGUGGUUUAAUUCGAAGCAACGCGAAGAACCUUACCAAAUCUUGACAUCCUUUGACAACUCUAGAGAUAGAGCUUUCCCCUUCGGGGGACAAAGUGACAGGUGGUGCAUGGUUGUCGUCAGCUCGUGUCGUGAGAUGUUGGGUUAAGUCCCGCAACGAGCGCAACCCUUAAGCUUAGUUGCCAUCAUUAAGUUGGGCACUCUAAGUUGACUGCCGGUGACAAACCGGAGGAAGGUGGGGAUGACGUCAAAUCAUCAUGCCCCUUAUGAUUUGGGCUACACACGUGCUACAAUGGGCAAUACAAAGGGCAGCGAAACCGCGAGGUCAAGCAAAUCCCAUAAAGUUGUUCUCAGUUCGGAUUGUAGUCUGCAACUCGACUACAUGAAGCUGGAAUCGCUAGUAAUCGUAGAUCAGCAUGCUACGGUGAAUACGUUCCCGGGUCU